ACCUUAUCAAGAGUGACGGAGGGAAUAGGCCCUGUGAAGUCCAGCAACCGGUACAAGGUAUACGGUGCUAAGUCCUACAGAAUAAUGUAUUCUGGAAGAUGAGGU
RNAcentral lists this non-coding RNA (105 nucleotides) under Paramaledivibacter caminithermalis. RNAcentral describes it as "Clostridium caminithermale SAM-I sequence". It matches the Rfam family "SAM riboswitch aptamer (S box leader)". Rfam says of the family: The SAM riboswitch is found upstream of a number of genes which code for proteins involved in methionine or cysteine biosynthesis in Gram-positive bacteria. The SAM riboswitch acts at the level of transcription termination control. RNAcentral also lists the same sequence under 1 other name. The record is from RNAcentral. Lineage: Bacteria; Bacillati; Bacillota; Clostridia; Peptostreptococcales; Caminicellaceae.